GGCACGGUGGUCUAGCGGUCAGAACACUAGCCUUGUAAGCCUGGGGUCCCGGGUUCAAUUCCCGGUGGUGCUC
This 73-nucleotide transfer RNA is filed under the name Zootermopsis nevadensis. It matches the Rfam family "tRNA". Rfam says of the family: Transfer RNA (tRNA) molecules are approximately 80 nucleotides in length. Lineage: Eukaryota; Metazoa; Arthropoda; Insecta; Blattodea; Termopsidae. The record is from Rfam by way of RNAcentral.